This 433-nucleotide ribosomal RNA is filed under the name uncultured bacterium. RNAcentral's name for it is "partial 16S ribosomal RNA". It matches the Rfam family "Bacterial small subunit ribosomal RNA", at positions 29 to 507 of the family's 1533-position model. The record is from RNAcentral.
AACGAACGCUGGCGGCAUGCCUAACACAUGCAAGUCGAACGAGACCUUCGGGUCUAGUGGCGCACGUGUUCGUAACGCGUUUUAACCUGCCCUUAGGUUCGGAAUAACUCCCCUAAAUGGGUGCUAAUACCGGUUAAUUUCUUCUUACCAAAGAUUUAUCGCCUUUGGAUGGUCCCGCGUUGGAUUAGCUAUUUGGUAGGGUAAAAGCCUACCAAGGCGAAGAUCCAUAGAUGGUUUGAGAGGAUGAUCAGCCACACUGGGACUGAGACACGGACCAGACUACUACGGGAGGCAGCAGUGGGGAAUAUUGGACAAUGGGCGAAAGCCUGAUACAGCAAUGCCGCGUGAGUGAUGAAGGCCUUAGGGUUGUAAAGCUCUUUUACCCGGGAUGAUAAUGACAGUACCGGGAGAAUAAGCUCCGGCUAACUCCGUG